This 229-nucleotide ribosomal RNA is filed under the name uncultured bacterium. RNAcentral's name for it is "partial 16S ribosomal RNA". It matches the Rfam family "Bacterial small subunit ribosomal RNA", at positions 568 to 796 of the family's 1533-position model. The record is from RNAcentral.
AGUGUAGGCGGUUACUUAAGUCGGAUGUGAAAGCCCUGGGCUCAACCUGGGAAUGGCAUUCGAUACUGGGUAACUAGAGUUUGGUAGAGGUAAGUGGAAUUCCGGGUGUAGCGGUGAAAUGCGUAGAUAUCCGGAGGAACAUCCGUGGCGAAGGCGGGUUACUGGACCAAAACUGACGCUGAGGCUCGAAAGCGUGAGGAGCAAACAGGAUUAGAUACCCUGGUAGUCC